Molecule: long non-coding RNA, 962 nt
Filed under: Manihot esculenta (cassava)
Lineage: Eukaryota; Viridiplantae; Streptophyta; Magnoliopsida; Malpighiales; Euphorbiaceae
Description: long non-coding RNA (MESC_LNC012281)
Source: RNAcentral
AGAGGUAAGUGUAGAUCCUUGCUUCCCUACUGUUUUUAAUGAAGUUUUAGUAAGUUUAAUGAUGUUUUGAUGGUUGAGUAUGGGUAGAUAUGCAUGUAGGGUUUAUGUGGGUUUUAUGCCCAAUGCAUGUUUAUGUGAUGUUAUGUUGAAAGUUUAAGUUAGUUUAUACAUGUGGGAGAGUGUACGCAUGAUUGGGAAAGAGCAAGUGAGAUUAUGGGGUGUUUUGAUGAUUUUGGCCUAUGUGGGUCAUAAGCUAUCUAUGCAUGCUUUGGAUGUUGUUUUUGGAGUUUAAAUCUAGUUGUUAAGCUCCUUUAUGCAUGACUAAGGGUUUAUGCAUGGUUUUGAGAAGUUUAUGCAUGUUUUAAAAGGUUGGAUGCUUGUUUUGGGGGUUUCGGAGGCUUGUAUGCACAAGGGCUGAGUUCUGAAAGAACUCAGGUUCGGCCGCCGAAGGUGGUUUCGGCCGCCGAACAUGGCUAUGGAUGCAUGAAUUGGCCGCCAAACCUUGCCCCCGAAAGUUGUGUUUCAGAGCUGAAGCAGACUUUCGGCCGCCGAAGGUGAUGUUCGGCCACCGAAAGUACAUGACUUUCGUCUCUGGAGAAAGGGUUCGGCCGCCGAAGGCGCCCCCGAACCUGCAUGACUUUCGUCUCUGGAAGGGACCUUCAGCCGCCGAAAGUGCCCUAUCCAGCCUUUUCAUGAGUGUUCUGUAUGCAUGUUUCCUUGAUGCUUUAAGGGGUUUUUGGGGAGUUGUUUAUGAGUUGUUUAGGGUGUGUUUGGCACAUCACUAGAGUCCACCUGUGUAGGAUCGGACCCGAGGAACCGAGGUGUUUAGCAGUGUCAGCCGUUUCAGAGUCGGCCCAGAGCUAGUCAGAGGUGAGUGGAACUAAACCUAAUGCUUUAAAUUAAGAAAUUAAAUGUUUUUAGAGCAUGAUCCAUGCAUCAUGAAAUGCCAUGAUAUGUAUUAG